GACGAACGCUGGCGGCGCGCCUAACACAUGCAAGUCGAACGAGCGAGAGAGAGCUUGCUUUCUCGAGCGAGUGGCGAACGGGUGAGUAACGCGUGAGGAACCUGCCUCAAAGAGGGGAACAACAGUUGGAAACGACUGCUAAUACCGCAUAAGCCCACGGCUCGGCAUCGAGCAGGGGGAAAAGGAGCAAUCCGCUUUGAGAUGGCCUCGCGUCCGAUUAGCUAGUUGGUGAGGUAACGGCCCACCAAGGCGACGAUCGGUAGCCGGACUGAGAGGUUGAACGGCCACAUUGGGACUGAGACACGGCCCAGACUCCUACGGGAGGCAGCAGUGGGGAAUAUUGCACAAUGGGGGAAACCCUAAUGCAGCGACGCCGCGUGGAGGAAGAAGGUCUUCGGAUUGUAAACUCCUGUUGUUGGGGAAGAUAAUGACGGUACCCAACAAGGAAGUGACGGCUAACUACGUG
RNAcentral lists this ribosomal RNA (466 nucleotides) under uncultured bacterium. Its description in RNAcentral is "partial 16S ribosomal RNA". It matches the Rfam family "Bacterial small subunit ribosomal RNA", at positions 28 to 507 of the family's 1533-position model. The record is from RNAcentral.